GGUCGGGAGGGAGAAGUCGGGGUCGAGUGAUGAGCCACCAAGAGGCCUGAGCAAAGUCCAUGGGCACCUGGGGGCAGAGAUGCCAUCUGUGGUCUGGAGAAGCAGGGAGCCUUCUGGAGGAGCUAGCCUUGGGUACAGUUGCGGAGCAGCCGACCAGCCGCGCUCUGGAGCCCCGCCCCAGCAGUCAGGGGGCCUGAAGGACACGGGUCCCUCCCUCACCUGGGCUCCUGCAGCCCCGCCCACCGGCUCAUCUGGCUCCUCCCUGCUGCUCACAAGGCUCGGGCUCACCUGCUCUUACCAAACUCCCCCGGGGCAGCGGCACCUGGUGCCCCAGGACGCGUCCUCCGGGCCACCGUCAACAGGAGCGAUGGGCAGCUGCCAUCUCAGCAAUAGCCCCAGGGACGCUUCCUCGGCGGCCUGCAGGGGGGCCGCGAGCAUGUGCCAGCCGGAGCCUAAGACCCUAACGCGCUUACUCCACUUCAUCCUCACGACAACCCCGGGGCGCUGACGGGUUCCCCACUUGAAGUAAGGGGAGCUGGGGAGAAUUUCUCUGCACGAAGGACUCAGAAGAGGCAACUGCAUGGAACGGGCCGCCCAGAGUGUUCCUUGGAGAAGCACCUGCCAGCGGAAAGCCCCGAUGACACUGGAUGGUAUAUUUAAGACCAAAGACGGCUCCCCCGGAGGGAAAAGAAGCCCAUGUGUCCUCAGGCACACUUACUUAUACCCAACGUCGCAGGAGUUCAAUUUCUCCAUGAGGAAGGACUGGAUAUCUUGGACCAGCAGGUGGCACUCGGCAGACCUGUUGCA
This is a long non-coding RNA of Manis pentadactyla (Chinese pangolin), 807 nucleotides long. RefSeq lists it as uncharacterized. Lineage: Eukaryota; Metazoa; Chordata; Mammalia; Pholidota; Manidae. The record is from RefSeq and is a predicted model, not a curated record. The transcript has 3 exons.